This 199-nucleotide ribosomal RNA is filed under the name uncultured Streptococcaceae bacterium. Its description in RNAcentral is "partial 16S ribosomal RNA". It matches the Rfam family "Bacterial small subunit ribosomal RNA", at positions 139 to 334 of the family's 1533-position model. Lineage: Bacteria; Bacillati; Bacillota; Bacilli; Lactobacillales; Streptococcaceae. The record is from RNAcentral.
GGGAGUAACUAUUGGAAACGAUAGCUAAUACCGCAUAAUAGCAGUUAUUGCAUGAUAACUGUUUGAAAGGUGCAAUUGCACCACUACCAGAUGGACCUGCGUUGUAUUAGCUAGUUGGUGGGUAACGGCUCACCAAGGCGACGAUACAUAGCCGACCUGAGAGGGUGAUCGGCCACACUGGGACUGAGACACGGCCCAG